RNAcentral lists this ribosomal RNA (877 nucleotides) under Acinetobacter sp. Its description in RNAcentral is "bacterial SSU rRNA". It matches the Rfam family "Bacterial small subunit ribosomal RNA", at positions 80 to 952 of the family's 1533-position model. The record is from RNAcentral. Lineage: Bacteria; Pseudomonadati; Pseudomonadota; Gammaproteobacteria; Moraxellales; Moraxellaceae.
UUGCUACCUGACCUAGCGGCGGACGGGUGAGUAAUGCUUAGGAAUCUGCCUAUUAGUGGGGGACAACAUUCCGAAAGGAAUGCUAAUACCGCAUACGCCCUACGGGGGAAAGCAGGGGAUCUUCGGACCUUGCGCUAAUAGAUGAGCCUAAGUCAGAUUAGCUAGUUGGUGGGGUAAAGGCCUACCAAGGCGACGAUCUGUAGCGGGUCUGAGAGGAUGAUCCGCCACACUGGGACUGAGACACGGCCCAGACUCCUACGGGAGGCAGCAGUGGGGAAUAUUGGACAAUGGGCGAAAGCCUGAUCCAGCCAUGCCGCGUGUGUGAAGAAGGCCUUUUGGUUGUAAAGCACUUUAAGCGAGGAGGAGGCUACUUGGAUUAAUACUCUAGGAUAGUGGACGUUACUCGCAGAAUAAGCACCGGCUAACUCUGUGCCAGCAGCCGCGGUAAUACAGAGGGUGCGAGCGUUAAUCGGAUUUACUGGGCGUAAAGCGUGCGUAGGCGGCUUUUUAAGUCGGAUGUGAAAUCCCUGAGCUUAACUUAGGAAUUGCAUUCGAUACUGGGAAGCUAGAGUAUGGGAGAGGAUGGUAGAAUUCCAGGUGUAGCGGUGAAAUGCGUAGAGAUCUGGAGGAAUACCGAUGGCGAAGGCAGCCAUCUGGCCUAAUACUGACGCUGAGGUACGAAAGCAUGGGGAGCAAACAGGAUUAGAUACCCUGGUAGUCCAUGCCGUAAACGAUGUCUACUAGCCGUUGGGGCCUUUGAGGCUUUAGUGGCGCAGCUAACGCGAUAAGUAGACCGCCUGGGGAGUACGGUCGCAAGACUAAAACUCAAAUGAAUUGACGGGGGCCCGCACAAGCGGUGGAGCAUGUGGUUUAAUUC